UCUCUAACGUCUCAUCCAUUCAAUCUUUUCUGAUUUAUUUUGUUUCUUUGUUUUCUUGUGUUUAUAAUCACAAAACCUCAUAUCUCUAGUACUAUUAUAUUUUGUUUUCUCUUGUUUUGUUAUUAACGUAAAUUAUAAUGGUAUCCUCAAUCCCCGGCUUUUAUAAUGAUACAUUUAUUUGCUAUAUACUACAAUUGACACAAAAGAGUUUUUAAUUGAAACGUCCGGUGGGUCCGGUGAGUAUCACCGAGAUUCUAACACCCACUGAAAGACAUUUUCCCUUUAACAACGGAGCAAGUGGCUUGAUAAAUCACAGACGGCGUUAACACUCCGUCACUCGAGUAGUAAUACCGGAUAUGGAAAAGGCUCGCUACCUUUGUCCAUGGAAAAUGUAACACCCGUUCAACCCACAUCAUGAGUCCGAACUUGGGGGGACUAUGAGCGGGAACCCAUUUGAAGUAUACUAGUGUACGAACUUAUUUUAGCAAGUCCCCACUCAAGAUGUGUCUUGAACGGGAACUUAGGGGGACUUGUAGUCGGUUAUGCAUAAAACAACCUCCCAAACCCGUAAACCAGCAGACAUUCCAUCACAACCGAGGCCGUCUUAGGGUUCCCGCCCAUAAGCAGGUUGGGCCGGGCUUAAGCACGGUCGUAACGCUGGGCUUGGAACAACUGCAGAAGGCAUAGGGGAGGUCUACAUUUGAAACAACAACAAGGGUAAGUGUCCCACAUCGGUUUCCAAGCAAAGUGAACUAGGGGUGUUAUCGGUUUUAUUCGAUUCGGUUUUCACCUAAAACCGGAAACCAAACUGAACUAAAACUUCGGGUCGGUUCAGUUUGGUUUUUCGGUUCAGCCUGGUUCGGUUUUUUCGGUUUUUUUUUUUUCUUCCAGUUUUCACUUACCUAUCGGAAAACAGUCGAUUUGGAGAGAGGGCGGACUGGCAAUGGUGGUGGUGGCGGACUGGCGAGAGGGGAGAAGAGGGCGAGGCCGGAGAGGGGAGAUGCUGGAGAGGAGGGCGAGAGGUGGAGGCCGGAGAGGGGAGUCGGGAGGACGGGAGCACUUGGAGAAAUAGAGAAAGAAAGAUGAGGCAACUAGCAGCCUGUCCGAGACGCCGGACUGCCGGAGAGGAAGGCGAUAGGUGGAGGCCGGCGGAGAGGAGGGCGACAAACGGAGGCCUGAGAUGGGGGCGAGAGGCGGAGGCCGAAGAGGAGAAAGAUGAGGCAACUGGUAGCCUGUCCGAGAGGCCAAGACGCCGGACUGCUGGAGAGGAGGGCGACAGGCGGAGGCCAGUGGAGAGGAGGGCGACAAACGGAGGCCGGAGAGGGGAGUCGGUCAGUCGGGAGCACUUGGAGAGGUUUAGAAACAGAGAAAGAUGAGGAAGUGAGGAACUGGCAGCCUUGUGGUUUUCGACUGAAGAGUCUUCAGUGAAGACUUAGGGUUUUUUUUUUUUUUCAAAAAUCAAAACGACGUCAUUAACCGUUGACUUCGGUUCAAACGGUUCAGUUCGGUUUUCACCGGCCUUAAAUUGAAAACUGAACCGAAAAUAUCUGGUUCGGCCCGUUUUUUUUUUCGGUGCGGUUUUUUCGGCUACGGUUUGGUUUUCAGUGCGGUUUUUUUCGGUUUUCGGUUUCGAAGUCACACCUCUAAAGUGAACCCACGCUGGGCCAUAAAUACGGCCCAGCCAUCAGCUUGUCAGGUAUCAUUAACUACCCUAGUAAUUACAUUCUACCAACAGAUACUAACUUAAUCAUCGGAGGAGGAAAGACCGGAAACCCUGGUCCUCCUUUUGUUUACAAGUCAACGGAAGGAUAGCCACUCACCUACCAGACAAGCUUAUGCAACCCUAUCCAGGAUUGUACAGAAACACCUACAAUGACUCGAUUCAACUCCUACAAAGAACCUACACAAUCUCCUACAGAUUACCUACACAAUCACAUCGCCUCAGUUCACCUUAUUCACUCCAUCAUCCUAGUUGUUCUUCUUGUUGUUCUUGGCAUCACCCUCCUCACUUUCCUUGUUGUUCUUCUUGACCUCACCCUCCUCACUUUCCUUGUUGUUGUUCUAGACCUCAGCGUCCUUUCUUUUCUUGAACAGCCCUUGAAAAACAUAGACCCAAAUUGUCGCAAAAGCCGCCGAGAGCAGAAUGUGAGCAAUUAUCAUCUUUACAGGGACCGGCGGGCCAAGCAAUGGUGUACCUACACAAGGGCUACAGUGGGCUACAACCCACCUCAAGUUUAACGAAAACAUUAAUUUGUAGCUAAAUUUUAGUUUAAAAAGUUUAAUUUUAAAAACUAGCCUACUUAGUCAUAGGUUAUUAAACCUAGUUAUUUAAACAGAGAUGAAUUGUUUGUUUUUUUGAACUAUUUUUUUCAUUAUGCCUAAAAUAAAAUUAGGCCAAACAAGAUACUAUUUGGAUGUUUGUGUAUAUGAUUAGUCAUAUAUAUUUUUUAUUUUUAUUUUAGUUCCCAAUUGCUUAAUUCUUCAAUCAAUUAAUCCAUUUGAUUCCAUAGUUCUUCAAUUGUGUCUUUUUUUUUUUUUUUUUUUUAAGACGCGAUGAUGUACUGUAUCUUUCUUUUCCGAUUAAGAUUUGAAGAUCAAAGAUUUGUUUAAUUAGUUGCUAGAGCAAUGUUUGUUUUCUUAACUUUUAAUUCUAUCAAAUGAUAUUAUGUUGAUUUCUGUUUAAUCAGUUUACUACUUGAUUGUUUGGUAUGUUUUUAAAAGAAUUAAAUUCAGUUUACCCCUUGUGGUUUGGGGGUGACUUCAUGUUAAUCCUUACACUUUUAAUUUCAUCAGUUUAUCCCUUGAACUCUUCAAUUUCUGUCUGCCGUGACCAAAUUCUCAUAUUCUGUUUAAAUUGACCGUUAAUUCUAGAUACGGGUCUCACUGUUAAGAUUAAAAUUAUCAUUUGACCAAAAAAACUAGUGGAAAAAAAAAUCCUUCCUUUUUAUCCCUAACUAAGUUGAAAAUUUUCUAAGCUUCGAGUACAAACGUAAUUUAACUCAUGAGAUUGGGUCCAUAUCAGCAAUUAACGUCUGAUUUGGACAGAAGAUAAAACAUUAGUCACGAUUGAGAAAAAUUUAAAAGUUUGAGGGGUAAACUGAUGAAAUUGAAAGUAUAGGGAUUAACAUGAAGUUACUCCCAAAUCUCAUGGGGGUAAACUGAAUUUAAUUCUUUUUAAAACAAGAUAUGAUAUGUACAACAUAAAGAAAGAAAUUAGAUAACUUUAAUAAAAAAAUUCAGCCCACCCCAUUUCAAAAUUCUAGUUCCGCCAUUGGGGCCAAGUAAGAUUGCGGCUUGAACCUUUGGGGUGCCAACCGUCUCAAUCAAUUCACUGACCUCCAAGUCAACCUCAAGCCGAAUCACCUUUUUGCCGAUGACCAGUGUUGGCACCGACACAUGCUCGACGCUUACUCCGACAGUUUUUAGUGCUUCUUCAAAAACCAGCGACUCACCAAAUUUCUAAAUACCGAACUUCCUGGCCUCACCAAAUUUCUGAAUAUAUACCGAACUUCCCGGCCUCGCCGGUGGCUCCCUGAUGAUUUCGAAGAGAAUCUCUUUUUUAAUUGCAGUGGAGUCCAUCUCUCUCUCUCUCUCUCUCUCUCUCUCUCUCUCUCUCUCUCCUUUCUGAUCACCUCUUCUCUCUCUCUCUCUCUCUAAGACUCUGAGUCUGUAACGGUUUCAUUUUGGGUUUUAUUAUGGGAAACGGGUCAAGCUUUAUAAUGGGCCUCGGGUUGUCCCACAAUGAGAAUGGGAGAGAGGAAGAGUCAUUCUCAUUCAUUUGUUUACUUGUUAUCCGGAAUCAGAGAUACUAUUUGGGUUGAUUCUCAUUUAUGUGUUUAUUAAAAUGUAGAAAUCAAAAUCAUAAUAAGGUUAAUUACAAAAACAUCCCUACAUAUAAGUCAAGAUAGUUUAUUAUGGAUAGAGUUUUCAUGUGGGUAAUUUUGGAAGAUCAAUAAAUCAUGAGGACAAUUUGGGAAUGUAAAAUUGAUUCUCUCAUGACCAGGAAUCAAUACUUAGUCCCCCACCGGAAUGAAAAUGGGGGAUUCAUUUCUUGGUUUUCUAUGGGUCCCACACAAUUUUUAUUCCCCUUUUGGUUGGUAAACACACAUUUUGAAAGGGAGAGGGAAGGAGUCAUUCCCAUUACGGUUUAGUGAACAUGGCCUUAAAUAAGCAAAGUUUUGGUAUCUCAUGACGGAGGAAUUAUUAUCUGUACCCGGCAUAUAUAUGAGAUGGUGUUCCCAGCCAAUAAGCACAAGACAUGUGGUUUUUUAUUUAACAUAUUACCCAUUCAUUAACGUUCGAGAUAAACAGUGUUAGUGGGUCUGCAAACAUAAACAAUUAAACAUCGAUCACAUCCUGGUUCAUAUGAAAUGAAGAAGAAACCUUUUCAAACAAAAAAAUUAGAUGAGGAAGCCCAGGCGUUCAUCCUCAUGAAAAAGGGAAUGAAAGUCAGGUCUGCUAUCUUUAUUUACUAGUAGACCAAAUUUCCCGACCAACCAUACUCGCUUGCUCAUCAUCACAAUCAAGCCAAUUCAAGCUUCUGGGUUUGGUU
RNAcentral lists this long non-coding RNA (4552 nucleotides) under Fragaria vesca (wild strawberry). RNAcentral's name for it is "long non-coding RNA (FVES_LNC005609)". Lineage: Eukaryota; Viridiplantae; Streptophyta; Magnoliopsida; Rosales; Rosaceae. The record is from RNAcentral.